GGGGAUGAAUAGAUUCGACGGAGUUCAUGAGGCCCUUUUUUGCAUGCGGACCUACGCCAUGUUCAAGUCCUAAAAAGGUCAUGGCACAAAACUAAAUGCCAACGACAACGUUGAGCUAGCAAUAGCCGCUUAAUAAGCCGGCUACGUUAACCAUCCGACACCGGCUACGGUGGAAGACGUCAUCCAGUCGGUUAGUUGUUUAACAUCUCUUGGGUUAAACAGCGAAACUCUUCAAGGGUAUGCCUCUUUCGGAUUUUGUCUCUUUCAACCGGAAAGGAUGAAGAAAAAAAAGAGUCUACGCAUGUAGAAAAGAAGGGAAGACGAUCUUCGGACGCGAGUGCAAUUCUCGCCAUCUCCACCA
Molecule: transfer-messenger RNA, 361 nt
Filed under: Deltaproteobacteria bacterium
Lineage: Bacteria; Pseudomonadati; Myxococcota; Myxococcia
Rfam family: transfer-messenger RNA
About the family: Bacterial tmRNA, also known as 10Sa RNA or SsrA, is named for its dual tRNA and mRNA-like properties. Its role is to liberate the mRNA from a stalled ribosome. To accomplish this part of the tmRNA is used as a reading frame that ends in a translation stop signal.
Source: RNAcentral